AAGGAAAGUCUAUAAUAUAAUAAAUUUUGUAUAAUAUUUAAAUGUAAGUUAAGGUUUUUAAUAGAGAAUAUAAAUAAGUUAAUAAUUAUUGUUAUGCCCCUAGCUAUUUGCCUAGGGCUUCUUUUUCACUUUUUGGUUCUGCAAUACUGUUUAUAUAUAUACUGCGCUUUUUCUAGAAGUUAUUGUGAAGAGUGGUAAAUAAAAUGAAAUAACUUAUUUUGGAAAAUCAAGCUCAUCUAAAGUCUUUUUUUAGUAAGAAAUUAUUACAAGAUAUAGCUUAA
This 281-nucleotide non-coding RNA is filed under the name Cryphonectria parasitica (chestnut blight fungus). Lineage: Eukaryota; Fungi; Ascomycota; Sordariomycetes; Diaporthales; Cryphonectriaceae. The record is from RNAcentral.